UUGACGUAUUUCUGUCUGUCCACCCUAAGAAUUUUUUGUCGUUUUCAGAUAAUUGAUCCUUUUAUAUAUUCCACUAACUUAUCCGAUCCGUGAAACAACUUGUUAACUAGCACCAAAUAUUCUUGAACAAGAAAAAUGUCAGCGCACCGAUCUUAAGGAAGAGAAAUACUUACACUGUGCAUGGAAAAAUCUUCAACAUGAAGAACUCACUGAACUCGAAGAAGCUGCAGCUGAGGCCCAAAAAGGUGAAACAGAUGGAACAUAAAAACUCACCCAAUAUGGAUAGCUGGAUGUAGACCUUCUUCUUAAUUUCAUCCGCCUUAUAUAUGCUAUCAGUGGUAUGGAAACGGGGUCAUCACUUAUGACGCAGCACCUUCGUGAAGGGUUAUCGAAAGCAGGAGGCCUCAGUGGGAUAAAAGGGAAACAGUUGAUCAGCAUGAUUGAUGAGUUGCAAGGCAAGACUAUUCGUGAAGAGAGGAAACUUUCAACGAAUUAAGAUGGCUAACUUGCAUGAGGACAUGGUUGAUCAGACACUCGCGGGGAAGAUGAUGAAAAAGAAGAAGGGAGAUGAUAAUUGUGAUAAGGAUAGUAAUGAUCAUGAGUGUGAGGAAGCAGAUGAAGCAUUAGAUGAACAUAGCCAACACAUGGCGGGGGUAAUGGAAGAAGCUGAUAAGUUGAAGGAAAUUGUGGGCAUACUUGAACCAGUUCAGGCGGUGGAAUACUUAGCUGCAGCUAAGAAGAUUAGGUUGUGUGUGCAACAAUGGGGAAAGAAGAGGGAUCAUGAGCAUAUAUAAUGAGUAGUAAUUUAUAACUAGUACGUACGUAUGUAAUUGUGAUGAGUUCGUCUGUUGCUUUCUAGUAGUUACAACUUUUGAUAA
Molecule: RNA transcript, 878 nt
Organism: Capsicum annuum
Lineage: Eukaryota; Viridiplantae; Streptophyta; Magnoliopsida; Solanales; Solanaceae
Gene name: protein DOG1-like 1
Exons: 1
Source: RefSeq, a predicted model, not a curated record